Molecule: RNA transcript, 1775 nt
Organism: Nannospalax galili (Upper Galilee mountains blind mole rat)
Lineage: Eukaryota; Metazoa; Chordata; Mammalia; Rodentia; Spalacidae
Gene name: isoleucine--tRNA ligase-like
Exons: 9
Source: RefSeq, a predicted model, not a curated record
AGCAACAGAAUGGUUGAACAGUUUCCAGAAAACAUCAGUUUUCCUGCUAAAGAAGAGAAAAUCUUGCAGUUCUGGUCCAAAUUUAAUUGCUUCCAGCAAUGCUUAAAGCAAUCAAAACGUAGGCCAAAAUUUACCUUCUAUGACGGGCCUCCCUUUGCAAUUGGACUGCCUCACUAUGGACAUAUAUUUUCAGGGACAAUUAAAGAUACAGUUACAAGAUACGCUCACCAGAAUGGGUUUCAUGUUGAUAGAAGAUUUGGAUGUGAUUGUCAUGGCCUACCUGUGGUACUUUUCAGUCUCCAGGAAAUAUGAAAUUGAUAAGACACUGGGAAUCAACGGGCCAGAGGACGUGGCAAAAAUGAGGAUUGCGGAAUAUAACAGUGCCGAGCCAUUGUGAUGAGAUAUUCUACUGAGUGGAGGUGUAAAGAGAAUGGUGCUUUCACUGUGCUUGUUGACCACUAUGUGAAGGAUGAAGAAGGCACCGGAGUUGUACACCAGGCCCCUUACUUCGGUGCUGAUGACUUUCGAGUCUGUAUGGACUUCAAUAUUAUUCAGAAAGAUUCAACCCCUAUUUGCCCCGUGGAUGCUUCAGGCUGCUUCACAGAAGAAGUGACACAUUUUGUUGGGCAGUAUGUGAAGGUCAGACACUCCCCUUAUUUACAAGUCAGUGCCCAGUUGGUUUGUGCGAGUGGAGCACAUGGUGGACCAGCUCCUUAAGAACAAUGACCUGUGUUACUGGGUCCCAGAGUUUGUUCGAGAAAAGCGGUUUGGAAAUUGGCUGAAAGACGCACAUGACUGGGCAAUUUCCAGAAAUAGAUACUGGGGUUCUCCUAUCCCACUGUGGGUCAGCGAAGACUUUGAGGAGGUAGUUUGCAUUGGGUCAGUGGCAGGACUUGAAGAACUGUCAGGAGCAAAAAUCUCAGAUCUCCACAGAGAGAGAUCCUGAUUGUAGGGGUUCCAAGGCCAGAGCGAUGAUUGCACAAAGACAAGACCCUCAGAGGAAUGGAUUCCCCUUGCUGAUGAGCUUGCUGCAGAGUUUUCAUUACUUACUUCUUCCAAACUUUUAGAUUUAAUGAGGCUCUCCGCAAGAGAUGAAACCAAUAACAAUGUUUAUGAACUAACUGAAAAAAAACUUAGAAACUUGACUGAUUCACUUUUACUCUGGAGCUUUUUUAAAGCUCUUGCAAAGUAUCAAUAUAUUCUGCCUAGACUGAACGGGAAUUUCCCGUGACUCCACAGUCCCAAAAGUUUCACUUACUUCAGAGCAUUCCCUUUUGGUCUGUGUUCCUGGUAUGUGCUGUAUCCAUUGAGCCCCAUGUCAAGUGCCAGAUGUAGUCGUUGAGUGAGCAGAGACUCGAAAGGACUGGAAGACACAGUGGAGCAUCUGAGACUCACCGUCCACAGACGCAGAUCCUUCUCAUUCCUGAUCUUUUAUUCAGUACUAAAAUAAUGGAUGGGUUGAUUUUACAGAAAAUCUUGUGCCAAGAACACAUAAGACAUACAAUAACAGGUUACAUACAGUAAGAAAUUAAGGAAUACAAUGUAUAAAUGUUAUCAAAGUGACCUCUAAACUAAACAUAUGUGCCAGAAUUGUCUCCUUCCUGGAAUAGCUUCAGCCCAACCAGUGUUUUCAAAAACUUAAGAGCAGGUUUUGGGGCUGGAGCGAUGGCUCAGCGGUUAAGAACACUGGUGGUUCUUGCAGAAAACCCAGGUUCAAAUCCCAGCACCCACAUGGCCGCUAACAACUGGCCGUAACUCCGGUUCCAGGGGAUCCG